AGUGAACGCUGGCGGUAGGCCUAACACAUGCAAGUCGAACGGCAGCACAGUAAGAGCUUGCUCUUACGGGUGGCGAGUGGCGGACGGGUGAGGAAUACAUCGGAAUCUACUUUUUCGUGGGGGAUAACGUAGGGAAACUUACGCUAAUACCGCAUACGACCUACGGGUGAAAGCAGGGGAUCUUCGGACCUUGCGCGAUUGAAUGAGCCGAUGUCGGAUUAGCUAGUUGGCGGGGUAAAGGCCCACCAAGGCGACGAUCCGUAGCUGGUCUGAGAGGAUGAUCAGCCACACUGGAACUGAGACACGGUCCAGACUCCUACGGGAGGCAGCAGUGGGGAAUAUUGGACAAUGGGCGCAAGCCUGAUCUAGCCAUACCGCGUGGGUGAAGAAGGCCUUCGGGUUGUAAAGCCCUUUUGUUGGGAAAGAAAAGCAGCAGGUUAAUACCCCGCUGUUCUGACGGUACCCAAAGAAUAAGCACCGGCUAACUUCGU
This 491-nucleotide ribosomal RNA is filed under the name uncultured bacterium. Its description in RNAcentral is "partial 16S ribosomal RNA". It matches the Rfam family "Bacterial small subunit ribosomal RNA", at positions 29 to 506 of the family's 1533-position model. The record is from RNAcentral.